ACUCCUACGGGAGGCAGCAGUGGGGAAUAUUGCACAAUGGGCGCAAGCCUGAUGCAGCCAUGCCGCGUGUAUGAAGAAGGCCUUCGGGUUGUAAAGUACUUUCAGCAGUGAGGAAGGUGGAUAUGUUAAUAGCAUAUUCAUUUGACGUUAGCUGCAGAAGAAGCACCGGCUAACUCCGUGCCAGCAGCCGCGGUAAUACGGAGGGUGCGAGCGUUAAUCGGAAUUACUGGGCGUAAAGCGCAUGCAGGUGGUUUGUUAAGUCAGAUGUGAAAGCCCGGGGCUCAACCUCGGAAUUGCAUUUGAAACUGGCAAACUAGAGUACUGUAGAGGGGGGGUAGAAUUUCAGGUGUAGCGGUGAAAUGCGUAGAGAUCUGAAGGAAUACCGGUGGCGAAGGCGGCCCCCUGGACAGAUACUGACACUCAGAUGCGAAAGCGUGGGGAGCAAACAGGAUUAGAUACCCUGGUAGCGUAG
RNAcentral lists this ribosomal RNA (472 nucleotides) under uncultured bacterium. RNAcentral's name for it is "bacterial SSU rRNA". It matches the Rfam family "Bacterial small subunit ribosomal RNA", at positions 335 to 798 of the family's 1533-position model. The record is from RNAcentral.